Molecule: ribosomal RNA, 715 nt
Filed under: uncultured Lachnospiraceae bacterium
Lineage: Bacteria; Bacillati; Bacillota; Clostridia; Lachnospirales; Lachnospiraceae
Description: bacterial SSU rRNA
Rfam family: Bacterial small subunit ribosomal RNA
Source: RNAcentral
GAUGAACGCUGGCGGCGUGCUUAACACAUGCAAGUCGAACGAAGCACUUUAACCUGAUUCUUCGGAUGAAGGUUUUUGUGACUGAGUGGCGGACGGGUGAGUAACGCGUGGGUAACCUGCCUCAUACAGGGGGAUAACAGUUAGAAAUGACUGCUAAUACCGCAUAAGACCACAGAGCCGCAUGGCUCGGUGGGAAGAACUCCGGUGGUAUGAGAUGGACCCGCGUCUGAUUAGGUAGUUGGUGGGGUAACGGCCUACCAAGCCAACGAUCAGUAGCCGACCUGAGAGGGUGACCGGCCACAUUGGGACUGAGACACGGCCCAAACUCCUACGGGAGGCAGCAGUGGGGAAUAUUGCACAAUGGGGGAAACCCUGAUGCAGCGACGCCGCGUGAGCGAAGAAGUAUUUCGGUAUGUAAAGCUCUAUCAGCAGGGAAGUAAAUGACGGUACCUGACUAAGAAGCACCGGCUAAAUACGUGCCAGCAGCCGCGGUAAUACGUAUGGUGCAAGCGUUAUCCGGAUUUACUGGGUGUAAAGGGAGCGUAGACGGCUGUGUAAGUCUGAAGUGAAAGCCCGGGGCUCAACCCCGGGACUGCUUUGGAAACUAUGCAGCUAGAGUGUCGGAGAGGUAAGUGGAAUUCCCAGUGUAGCGGUGAAAUGCGUAGAUAUUGGGAGGAACACCAGUGGCGAAGGCGGCUUACUGGACGAUGACUGA